AACGGCCAUACCAUGCUGAAUAUACCGGUUCUCCGGUUCUGGUUAGAUCACCGAAGUCAAGCAUCAUUGGGCCGGGUCAGUACAUGGGUGGGUGACCACCUGGGAACACCGCGUGCCGUU
Non-coding RNA from Caerostris extrusa, 120 nucleotides. NCBI's taxonomy places the organism in Eukaryota, Metazoa, Arthropoda, Arachnida, Araneae, Araneidae. The record is from the annotation of a GenBank genome assembly.